This is a long non-coding RNA of Drosophila willistoni, 545 nucleotides long. RefSeq lists it as uncharacterized. The transcript has 3 exons. The record is from RefSeq and is a predicted model, not a curated record. Lineage: Eukaryota; Metazoa; Arthropoda; Insecta; Diptera; Drosophilidae.
UCCAGCCCUAGCAAUUUCAGUUCGAUACAGACACUGAAAGCGUAAACAACAGUCUAAACAACAAAAACUAAGAAUAACUUCCGUUUUUUAUAUAAUUUUAGACACACAAAAUGUUUAAAAUUUUAGGUAAAUUUUGCGCAACUUUCUAUUAUUGGAUCGUCAAUUUUGUAAACAUUUUCAAUGUUGGUUUCGGCGGCGAAAGUAUGUGGACUCUGCCCAAAGUUGAGGAGCCGAUUCUAGUAAAGGAAGACAAUUUGGUAGACGAACAGGUGACCACGGAUGAUAGCGUCAUUGAUUCCGAAUCCGUGACCCCUGAACUUAGCUCAAUUAAUUUGGCUAAUGCAAAAUCGAUGAGUGAUCCAAAGGAAUGCCCAAUAUGCCUUAAAAAAUCCGCUGUACCCGUUCCAAAAGGACGUAAAAUGAACAAUGCCUGUUAGAAGAUCAAAUGUAUUUGAUAUCUGGAAACUAUCUUGGAUAUCUUGGUUAAUUUCUUAAAGAAAUUGUUAUUUGUCUAAAUCGUAAAAUAAAAUGUGAUUCAUAGUGAA